AGCGACGGACGAGAAGCUUGCUUCUCUGAUGUUAGCGGCGGACGGGUGAGUAACACGUGGAUAACCUACCUAUAAGACUGGGAUAACUUCGGGAAACCGGAGCUAAUACCGGAUAAUAUUUUGAACCGCAUGGUUCAAAAGUGAAAGACGGUCUUGCUGUCACUUAUAGAUGGAUCCGCGCUGCAUUAGCUAGUUGGUAAGGUAACGGCUUACCAAGGCAACGAUGCAUAGCCGACCUGAGAGGGUGAUCGGCCACACUGGAACUGAGACACGGUCCAGACUCCUACGGGAGGCAGCAGUAGGGAAUCUUCCGCAAUGGGCGAAAGCCUGACGGAGCAACGCCGCGUGAGUGAUGAAGGUCUUCGGAUCGUAAAACUCUGUUAUUAGGGAAGAACAUAUGUGUAAGUAACUGUGCACAUCUUGACGGUACCUAAUCAGAAAGCCACGGCUAACUACGUGCCAGCAGCCGCGGUAAUACGUAGGUGGCAAGCGUUAUCCGGAAUUAUUGGGCGUAAAGCGCGCGUAGGCGGUUUUUUAAGUCUGAUGUGAAAGCCCACGGCUCAACCGUGGAGGGUCAUUGGAAACUGGAAAACUUGAGUGCAGAAGAGGAAAGUGGAAUUCCAUGUGUAGCGGUGAAAUGCGCAGAGAUAUGGAGGAACACCAGUGGCGAAAGCGACUUUCUGGUCUGCUACUGACGCUGAUGUGCGAAAGCG
This 713-nucleotide ribosomal RNA is filed under the name Staphylococcus sp. HGH0014. RNAcentral's name for it is "bacterial SSU rRNA". It matches the Rfam family "Bacterial small subunit ribosomal RNA", at positions 65 to 761 of the family's 1533-position model. The record is from RNAcentral. Lineage: Bacteria; Bacillati; Bacillota; Bacilli; Caryophanales; Staphylococcaceae.